GUGUUGUAUGAACUGAAGGUUAGCGCUCCCUUAGAUGAAAAUGGAAGAGACCCUUGGGCCUAACGACAAGCAUGCGGUUAAGCCACUGCCACCAUCGUUUAAGGCAUCUAACCCCUGCUUCUG
Small nuclear RNA from Arvicanthis niloticus (Nile rat), 123 nucleotides. The record is from RefSeq and is a predicted model, not a curated record. Lineage: Eukaryota; Metazoa; Chordata; Mammalia; Rodentia; Muridae.